This 449-nucleotide ribosomal RNA is filed under the name uncultured bacterium. RNAcentral's name for it is "bacterial SSU rRNA". It matches the Rfam family "Bacterial small subunit ribosomal RNA", at positions 355 to 825 of the family's 1533-position model. The record is from RNAcentral.
UAAGGAAUAUUGCGCAAUGGGCGAAACCCUGACGCAGCGACGCCGCGUGUGGGAUGAAGGUCUUCGGAUUGUAAACCACUGUCGCGAGGGACGAAGCUCUGACGGUACCUCGAAAGGAAGCACCGGCUAACUCUGUGCCAGCAGCCGCGGUAAUACAGAGGGUGCGAGCGUUGUCCGGAAUCACUGGGCGUAAAGGGCGCGUAGGCGGCCCGGUAAGUAGGGGGUGAAAUCUCAUGGCUCAACUGUGAGGCUGCCUUCUAGACUGCUGGGCUUGAGCACGGUAGAGGCUGGUGGAAUUCCCGGUGUAGCGGUGGAAUGCGUAGAGAUCGGGAGGAACAUCGGUGGCGAAGGCGGCCAGCUGGGCCGUUGCUGACGCUGAGGCGCGAAAGCGUGGGGAGCAAACAGGAUUAGAUACCCGCGUAGUCCCUGAGCGGGCUGGCAAGGCGCAU